CAUCGGUUAUAUCUUAUUAAAUCCAUCCAAUAGGAUUCAGUCAUUCAAGUGAUAUCAUGUUUGGUUAUAAAAUCAAUAUUCAAGUCUGGAAAUUAUUUGUAGCAUAAUUUUUCCGUAUCAGAUUUGAUAGAGUGACAUCGAUUUCGACCAAUAGGAAUUUUUGCGUGUUGUGAGCAACGCGUAUUUCGUUUUUGAUGUGUAGUCAGCAGUCCCUCUUUCUCCCUGAAGGAGCGCUUGCAUGCAGUCUAGCCUGUUCAUGGAUAUAGACCUAAUUCAAAAAAGGUUGUCCUUUGCAUUAAUAGACAAUUCCCAUUAUAGACUAAUUUUAAAAUUAGGUAAGGAAACUCAAAUAAAUCACCACAGCUAGAAAGAGCAUACUAAAAUUAGUAAAAUUACAAAGUUUGGUUGCGAAAUGUUGUAAAAUGAGGAAAGCAUAUAGAUGAUGAUAAACUUUAUUUAACCACGCUAACAUUAGGACCAUUUAUACGGGACAAAAUAAGACGCGACUUACAUAAGACGCGACUUAAAUAAGACGCGACUUAAAUAAGACGCGAGUUUGUCGUAUAAAAGGUACAAAAUUCUUAUGUAAGACGCG
This is a non-coding RNA of Paramuricea clavata, 595 nucleotides long. The record is from the annotation of a GenBank genome assembly. Lineage: Eukaryota; Metazoa; Cnidaria; Anthozoa; Malacalcyonacea; Plexauridae.